This is a non-coding RNA of Pelobates cultripes (western spadefoot toad), 215 nucleotides long. NCBI's taxonomy places the organism in Eukaryota, Metazoa, Chordata, Amphibia, Anura, Pelobatidae. The record is from the annotation of a GenBank genome assembly.
CCCAAUAGGUAUUACCCCCUUUUUUCUCUGCAUUAUGCUUCGGUUAGUGGUCCCGCGAGGCCAACACCCCGCACCACACUCGGAGGCAUACACCCCUCAGGCCAAUCGUGAGCUAGCCGCCUCGCAUUGUAUCAUAGAGAGGGCCUCACCUGUCACUCCCCUUCCUAUUUUCUGGUUACUGUCACCGAGAGGCCAACAUCCUGCCACAACAUUCG